UACAGAGGUCCCAAGCGUUGUUCGGAUUUACUGGGCGUAAAGGGCGCGUAGGCGGCCUCCGCAAGUCAGUUGUGAAAUCUCCGAGCUUAACUCGGAAAGGUCAACUGAUACUGCGGGGCUAGAGUGCGGAAGGGGCAACUGGAAUUCUUGGUGUAGCGGUGAAAUGCGUAGAUAUCAAGAGGAACACCUGCGGCGAAGGCGGGUUGCUGGGCCGACACUGACGCUGAGGCGCGAAAGCUAGGGGAGCGAACGGG
RNAcentral lists this ribosomal RNA (254 nucleotides) under uncultured bacterium. RNAcentral describes it as "partial 16S ribosomal RNA". It matches the Rfam family "Bacterial small subunit ribosomal RNA", at positions 524 to 776 of the family's 1533-position model. The record is from RNAcentral.